This 64-nucleotide microRNA precursor is filed under the name Mus pahari (shrew mouse). RNAcentral describes it as "microRNA 742 (MGP_PahariEiJ_G0007849.1)". The record is from RNAcentral. Lineage: Eukaryota; Metazoa; Chordata; Mammalia; Rodentia; Muridae.
UGCUCUACUCACAUGGGUGCUAAUCCGGUGAAGUUAAGUGAAAGCCAACAUGUUGGGUAAAGUA